GCCUAACUAAACAAACUCUUAGAUAGUUGUGGGUGUGUUUAAUGUCCUACACAGCAACUCAAAGCUUUGACUUAGGAAGGUAAAUCGAUCAGGAUGUUCGCAAGCUUGUACAUUCUCGGAAACUCUAUCCAACUUUAGGAAAAGUUUAGAAGAAUAGGCUUUGAAGUGGAGACAACAGAAAGAUAACAGCAUAUUAAACCCCACACAUAAACACAAAGGACAGUGGAGAAGUAAUAAAUUCGAAUCAGUGGCGGAUCCAAGGGGGUAUGAAACCCCUUUUUUAACGAUCAAUGCUUUUGAAUGGGGACAUAUGGUUGGAACCCCCAUUUAUCCUAGGUCGGAACCUCCUCCCCCACCGUUUUUUAUGACUGGAUCCGCCUUUGCGGAGGACUUUUUAUAAUACAAAAGUUUGAACAAAGAACAAUCAGUUUUUUUUUCUGAGUAGAACAUCAACUACUUCAUAGAAUAACUAGUCAGCCA
RNAcentral lists this long non-coding RNA (480 nucleotides) under Mytilus galloprovincialis (Mediterranean mussel). The record is from RNAcentral. Lineage: Eukaryota; Metazoa; Mollusca; Bivalvia; Mytilida; Mytilidae.